Non-coding RNA from Ornithorhynchus anatinus (platypus), 137 nucleotides. NCBI's taxonomy places the organism in Eukaryota, Metazoa, Chordata, Mammalia, Monotremata, Ornithorhynchidae. The record is from Rfam.
CACCUCUCAGGUUGUACCUGGAGAGUUACCAGUACUCUACCAUUCUCAGCUAUGGGAAAAAAAGUCAAGCAGAGGCCUAUCCAUUCCAUUCCUAGCUUGGGCAGUGGCUAGCGAGUGGAAGGCCAUCUGCUACAAGU